This 1235-nucleotide ribosomal RNA is filed under the name metagenome. RNAcentral's name for it is "bacterial LSU rRNA". It matches the Rfam family "Bacterial large subunit ribosomal RNA", at positions 1564 to 2810 of the family's 2925-position model. The record is from RNAcentral.
UGAAUACGAGACGCUAAGGCGUCGAAGUAGUGUAUGUCAUACUUCCAAGAAAAGCUUGCACUGUCAUAGAUAAAAACGCCUGUACCAUAACCGACACAGGUGGGUAGGUAGAGUAUACUAAGGGGCGCGAGAUAACUCUCUCUAAGGAACUCGGCAAAAUAACUCCGUAACUUCGGGAGAAGGAGUGCCUUAUUCGUAAGGUUGCAAUAACAAGAUCCAAGCAACUGUUUAUCAAAAACACAGGUCUCCGCUAAGUCGUAAGACGAUGUAUGGGGGCUGACGCCUGCCCAGUGCCAGAAGGUUAAAGAAGUUGGUUAGCAAUUGCGAAGCUGAUAACUGAAGCCCUGGUGAACGGCGGCCGUAACUAUAACGGUCCUAAGGUAGCGAAAUUCCUUGUCGGGUAAGUUCCGACCCGCACGAAAGGCGUAAUGAUUUGGAUACUGUCUCGGAGAGGGGCUCGGUGAAAUAGACUUGUCUGUGAAGAUGCGGACUACCUGCACCAGGACAGAAAGACCCUAUGAAGCUUUACUGUAACUUGAAAUUGAAAUUGGACUUUAUUCGCGCAGUAUAGGUGGGAGGCGUUGAUCAUAAUCUUGUGGGAUUAUUGGAGCCAUCAGUGAGAUACCACUCUUGUAAUCUUAGAUUUCUAACUUUGAAUCAUUAUCUGGUCAAAGAACAGUUUCAGGCGGGCAGUUUGACUGGGGCGGUCGCCUCCUAAACGGUAACGGAGGCGUACAAAGGUUUCCUCUGAACGGUUAGAAAUCGUAUCUAGAGUGUAAAGGCAUAAGGAAGCUUGACUGUGAGACCUACAAGUCGAGCAGGGACGAAAGUCGGUCUUAGUGAUCUGACGGUACUGAGUGGAAAGGCCGUCACUCAACGGAUAAAAGUUACUCUAGGAUAACAGGCUGAUCUCCCCCAAGAGUUCACAUCGACGGGGAGGUUUGGCACCUCGAUGUCGGCUCAUCGCAUCCUGGGGCGGUAGUACGUCCCAAGGGUUGGGCUGUUCGCCCAUGAAAGCGGUACGCGAGCUGGGUUCAGAACGUCGUGAGACAGUUCGGUCCAUAUCCGGUGUAGGCGUUAGAAUAUUGAGAGGAGCCUUCUUUAAUACGAGAGGACCGAGAAGGACAUACCUCUGGUGUACCAGUUAUCGUGCCAACGGUAAACGCUGGGUAGCUAUGUAUGGAGUGGAUAACCGCUGAAAGCAUCUAAGUGGGAAGCCCACCUCAAGAUAAGUA